CCCUAGUAACGGCGAGUGAAGCGGCAAGAGCUCAAAUUUGAAAGCUGGCCCCCUCGGGGUCCGCAUUGUAAUUUGCAGAGGAUGCUUCGGGAACGGCCCCCAUCUAAGUGCCCUGGAACGGGCCGUCAUAGAGGGUGAGAAUCCCGUCUGGGAUGGGGUGGCCGCGCCCGUGUGAAGCUCCUUCGACGAGUCGAGUUGUUUGGGAAUGCAGCUCUAAUUGGGUGGUAAAUUUCAUCUAAAGCUAAAUAUUGGCCGGAGACCGAUAGCGCACAAGUAGAGUGAUCGAAAGAUGAAAAGCACUUUGAAAAGAGAGUUAAACAGCACGUGAAAUUGUUGAAAGGGAAGCGCUUGCGACCAGACUCGCCCGCGGGGUUCAGCCGGCACUCGUGCCGGUGUACUUCCCCGCGGGCGGGCCAGCGUCGGUUUGGGCGGCCGGUCAAAGGCCUCUGGAAGGUAACGCCUCUCGGGGCGUCUUAUAGCCAGGGGUGCCAUGCGGCCUGCCCGGACCGAGGAACGCGCUUCGGCUCGGACGCUGGCAUAAUGGUCGUAAGCGACCCGUCUUGAAACACGGACCAAGGAGUCUAACAUCUACGCGAGUGUUCGGGUGUCAAACCCGUGCGCGCAGUGAAAGCGAACGGAGGUGGGAACCCCCCGGGGUGCACCAUCGACCGAUCCUGAUGUCUUCGGAUGGAUUUGAGUAAGAGCGUAGCUGUUGGGACCCGAAAGAUGGUGAACUAUGCCUGAAUAGGGCGAAGCCAGAGGAAACUCUGGUGGAGGCUCGCAGCGGUUCUGACGUGCAAAUCGAUCGUCAAAUUUGGGUAUAGGGGCGAAAGA
Molecule: ribosomal RNA, 834 nt
Filed under: Penicillium sp. KH00303
Lineage: Eukaryota; Fungi; Ascomycota; Eurotiomycetes; Eurotiales; Aspergillaceae
Description: eukaryotic LSU rRNA
Rfam family: Eukaryotic large subunit ribosomal RNA
Source: RNAcentral